Molecule: ribosomal RNA, 354 nt
Filed under: uncultured organism
Description: bacterial LSU rRNA
Rfam family: Bacterial large subunit ribosomal RNA
Source: RNAcentral
CUUUACUGUAGCCUGGAAUUGGGUCCGGGCUUCGCUUGCGCAGGAUAGGUGGGAGGCACUGAAACACUCCUUGUGGGGAGUGUGGAGCCAACGGUGAGAUACCACUCUCUCGAAGCUAGAAUUCUAACUCGAAUAGAGGACAGUUUCAGGUGGGUAGUUUGACUGGGGCGGUCGCCUCCAAAAAGGUAACGGAGGCGCGCAAAGGUUCUCUCAGGCUGGUUGGAAAUCAGCCGUAGAGUGUAAAGGCAGAAGAGAGCUUGACUGCAAGAGCUACAACUCGAGCAGGGUGGAAACACGGCCUUAGUGAUCCGACGGCGCUGAGUGGAAGGGCCGUCGCUCAACGGAUAAAAGUUA